Molecule: long non-coding RNA, 749 nt
Filed under: Trifolium pratense (red clover)
Lineage: Eukaryota; Viridiplantae; Streptophyta; Magnoliopsida; Fabales; Fabaceae
Description: long non-coding RNA (TPRA_LNC005271)
Source: RNAcentral
GUUGCGUUAAAAACACACUUAGAGCAAGUGUACUCUAGGGCAGAAGUAGUAUAAAAGAUUAUCGUAUCCACAGGGAUUAAUUAACAAGUACCAAACUAUUUAAGAUUAUUUAUUACUUAGACGNNNNNNNNNNNNNNUCAAUUACCAAUCCCUUUACGAAAACUAUUAACCCGUUUGGUCAUUCGUGAUUAAUAUUCUUUUUCCUAAAUUAACCUUUGUUUGGUCAUGCAAAGAGUUGAAAUUCAAGAAAAGCAUAAAGUGUAAAAAGGUUGAAUGAUUGGAAGACAAAGAUUAAAGUUUGGUCAUGCAAUAAUCUAAGUCUCAUUUAUCCUAUAGGUCCACCAAUUAACUGCAGUACGGUCGCUGAUCAAUCAAUUGAUUAUAAACAUUCAUAGGUUGAUCAUUCCUAAUAAUGUGAUAAAAUCAAUAGGAUAAAAUUAAUUGAACUAAAAAUAGAAAUUCAAACAAGAAACUAGAACAUAAAACUAAGACAUAGUAUAAGGAAUUUCAAUUACAAGAUCUACCAUAAACCCUAGAAGAGUAUUUAGCUACAUAUAAUCAUGAAGAACACUAAAAGAUUUAUGAAAUUAAGAGAAGAGAAUGACCCAAAAAUACUUCAAUUGUUGUUGGUAUUCUCCUCUAUGUUCUUCAAUCUCUGCCUCUCAAAAAUAUGUACAGCGUCCUUUUCUCCGAAGAAAAACGUCAUACCCAACUGCAACUCAGAAACUCUAUUUAUAACCCUCUUGAAU